This 433-nucleotide ribosomal RNA is filed under the name uncultured Oscillibacter sp. RNAcentral describes it as "bacterial SSU rRNA". It matches the Rfam family "Bacterial small subunit ribosomal RNA", at positions 341 to 792 of the family's 1533-position model. Lineage: Bacteria; Bacillati; Bacillota; Clostridia; Eubacteriales; Oscillospiraceae. The record is from RNAcentral.
ACGGGAGGCAGCAGUGGGGAAUAUUGGGCAAUGGGGGAAACCCUGACCCAGCAACGCCGCGUGAAGGAAGAAGGCCUUCGGGUUGUAAACUUCUUUUACCAGGGACGAUAAUGACGGUACCUUGUGAAUAAGCCACGGCUAACUACGUGCCAGCAGCCGCGGUAAUACGUAGGUGGCAAGCGUUGUCCGGAUUUACUGGGUGUAAAGGGCGUGUAGCCGGGUCGGUAAGUCAGAUGUGAAAUCCACGGGCUUAACUCGUGAACUGCAUUUGAAACUGCUGAUCUUGAGUAUCGGAGAGGCAAUCGGAAUUCCUAGUGUAGCGGUGAAAUGCGUAGAUAUUAGGAGGAACACCAGUGGCGAAGGCGGAUUGCUGGACGACAACUGACGGUGAGGCGCGAAAGCGUGGGGAGCAAACAGGAUUAGAUACCUGGUA